UGUAGGGCGCAGGGCGGAUGCCUUGGCACCAAGAGCCGAUGAAAGACGUGAUAAGCUGCGAAAAGCUGCGGGGAGUUGCAAAUAAACAUUGAUCCGCAGAUCUCUGAAUGGGGCAACCCAACUAGGUAGACCCUAGUUACCGUUAACUGAAUCCAUAGGUUAACGGAGGGAACCCGGUGAACUGAAACAUCUAAGUAGCCGGAGGAAGAGAAAACAAAAGUGAUUCCGUAAGUAGCGGCGAGCGAACGCGGAAGAGCCCAAACCAGGGAGCUUGCUUCCUGGGGUUCGGACUGUAUAAUCGAUGGAGUCUGCUAGCAGAACGGCAUGGAAAGGCCGGCCAUAGCGUGUGAAAGCCACGUAUGCGAAAGCGGACAAAGCGAGACAGUAUCCAGAGUAGGACGAGACACGUGAAACCUUGUCUGAACAUGCGGGGACCACCCCGUAAGGCUAAAUACUACUUGGUGACCGAUAGCGAAACAGUACCGUGAGGGAAAGGUGAAAAGAACCCCGGGAGGGGAGUGAAAGAGAACCUGAAACCCUGUGCCUGCAAGCUGCGAAAGCACUAUCUAAAUGAAGUGUGAUCGCGUACUUUUUGUAGAACGGUCCGGCGAGUUAUGUGGAGGGGCGAGGUUAAGUACUUAAGGUAAAUAGCCGAAGGGAGACCAAGUCUGAACAGGGCGUCAAGUCGCUUCACAUAGACCCGAAACCGGGUGAUCUAUCCAUGGACAGGAUGAAGCGGCCGUAAAAGGCUGUGGAGGUCCGAACACACAUCCGUUGAAAAGGGUGGUGAUGAGCUGUGGAUAGGGGAGAAAUUCCAAUCGAACUCGGAGAUAGCUGGUUCUCCCCGAAAUAGCUUUAGGGCUAGCCCUGCAGCAUGCCUGAUGGAGGUAGAGCACUGAAUAUCCGCGGGGGCUUCACCGCUUACCAAAGAUUAUCAAACUCCGAAUGCCAUACAGGCUGAGCGCAGGAGUCAGACUACACGAGAUAAGUUGGGUAGUCAAAAGGGAAAGAGCCCAGAUCCACGGCUAAGGUCCCAAAGUGCGUGUUAAGUGGAAAAGGAUGUGGGAUUUCAUAGACAGCUAGGAUGUUGGCUCAGAAGCAGCCACACAUUCAAAGAGUGCGUAAUAGCUCACUAGCCGAGAGGUCCUGCGCCGAAAAUUACCGGGGCUGAAACACGACACCGAAGCCUGGGGAUC
Molecule: ribosomal RNA, 1196 nt
Filed under: Butyrivibrio sp. DSM 10294
Lineage: Bacteria; Bacillati; Bacillota; Clostridia; Lachnospirales; Lachnospiraceae
Description: partial 23S ribosomal RNA
Rfam family: Bacterial large subunit ribosomal RNA
Source: RNAcentral